RNAcentral lists this ribosomal RNA (489 nucleotides) under uncultured bacterium. RNAcentral describes it as "partial 16S ribosomal RNA". It matches the Rfam family "Bacterial small subunit ribosomal RNA", at positions 28 to 507 of the family's 1533-position model. The record is from RNAcentral.
GACGAACGCUGGCGGCGUGCUUAACACAUGCAAGUCGAACGAAAAGGCCCGGCUUCUUGGGGGUGCUCGUGUGGCGAACGGGCGGGUAACAAACGCGUAACCAACCCUCGACUUUGGGAUAACUUAAGGAAGCUGGGGACAAUAACGGCCACGUACGCCCGAUGCACGGCGGGGGGGGGGAAGGUACGGCGGCCGGGGAUGGACUUGCGUCUGAUCAGCUAGUGGGUGGGUUAGAGGCCUACCAAGGCUAGGAUGGGUAGCCGGUCUGAGAGGGUGAACGGCCACAGUGGGACUGAGACACGGCCCGGACGCCUACGGGAGGCAGCAGUGGGGAAUCUUCCGCAAUGGACGAAAGUCUGACGGAGCAACGCCGCGUGAGUGAUGACGGCCUUCGGGUUGUAAAGCUCGGUUAAUCGGGACGAAAGGCCUUCUUGCGAAUAGUGAGAAGGAUUGACGGUACCGGAAUAGAAAGCCACGGCUAACUACGUG